This 200-nucleotide ribosomal RNA is filed under the name uncultured eukaryote. RNAcentral describes it as "partial 18S ribosomal RNA". It matches the Rfam family "Eukaryotic small subunit ribosomal RNA", at positions 588 to 791 of the family's 1831-position model. The record is from RNAcentral.
GCUCCAAUAGCGUAUAUUAAAGUUGUUGCAGUUAAAAAGCUCGUAGUUGAAUUUCUGUCUAGGAGAUCCGUUCGCUCUCUGAGUAGAAUUGUGGAUACUUCUUGACAUAUUUCCAAAGAGCGUGUCUGCACUUAAUUGUGUGGUUCGUGAUUUGGAACCUUUACUUUGAGAAAAUUAGAGUGUUUCAAGCAAGCUUGCGU